Molecule: ribosomal RNA, 482 nt
Filed under: uncultured bacterium
Lineage: Bacteria
Description: partial 16S ribosomal RNA
Rfam family: Bacterial small subunit ribosomal RNA
Source: RNAcentral
AUUGAACGCUGGCGGCAUGCUUUACACAUGCAAGUCGAACGGUAACAGGCCGCAAGGUGCUGACGAGUGGCGAACGGGUGAGUAAUGCAUCGGAACGUGCCCAGUCUUGGGGGAUAACUACUCCAAAGAGUAGCUAAUACCUCAUACGAUCUAUGGAUGAAAGCGGGGGACCGUAAGGCCUCGCGCGAUUGGAGCGGCCGAUGUCAGAUUAGGUAGUUGGUUGGGUAAAGGCUCACCAAGCCAACGAUCGGUAGCUGGUCUGAGAGGACGACCAGCCACACUGGGACGGAGACACGGCCCAGACUCCUACGGGAGGCAGCAGUGGGGAAUUUUGGACAAUGGGCGCAAGCCUGAUCCAGCAAUGCCGCGUGCAGGAAGAAGGCCUUCGGGUUGUAAACUGCUUUUGUACGGAACGAAACGGCUCUGGUUAAUACCCGGGGCUAAUGACGGUACCGUAAGAAUAAGCACCGGCUAACUACGUG